CCAUGUGUAGCGGUGAAAUGCGUAGAUAUAUGGAGGANCACCAGUGGCGAAAGCGGCUCUCUGGUCUGUCACUGACGCUGAGGCUCGAAAGCGUGGGUAGCGAACAGGAUUAGAUACCCUGGUAGUCCACGCCGUAAACGAUGAGUGCUAGGUGUUAGGCCCUUUCCGGGGCUUAGUGCCGGAGCUAACGCAAUAAGCACUCCGCCUGGUGAGUACGACCGCAAGGUUGAAACUCAAAGGAAUUGACGGGGGCCCGCACAAGCGGUGGAGCAUGUGGUUUAAUUCGAAGCAACGCGAAGAACCUUACCAGGUCUUGACAUCCCGAUGCUAUUCUUAGAGAUAGGAAGUUACUUCGGUACAUCGGAGACAGGUGGUGCAUGGUUGUCGUCAGCUCGUGUCGUGAGAUGUUGGGUUAAGUCCCGCAACGAGCGCAACCCUUAUUGUUAGUUGCCAUCAUUAAGUUGGGCACUCUAGCGAGACUGCCGGUAAUAAACCGGAGGAAGGUGGGGAUGACGUCAAAUCAUCAUGCCCCUUAUGACCUGGGCUACACACGUGCUACAAUGGUCGGUACAACGAGUUGCGAGCCGGUGACGGCAAGCUAAUCUCUGAAAGCCGAUCUCAGUUCGGAUUGGAGGCUGCAACUCGCCUCCGUGAAGUCGGAAUCGCUAGUAAUCGCGGAUCAGCACGCCGCGGUGAAUACGUUCCCGGGCCUUGUNC
Molecule: ribosomal RNA, 717 nt
Filed under: uncultured bacterium
Lineage: Bacteria
Description: bacterial SSU rRNA
Rfam family: Bacterial small subunit ribosomal RNA
Source: RNAcentral